Molecule: non-coding RNA, 4328 nt
Organism: Anas platyrhynchos (mallard)
Lineage: Eukaryota; Metazoa; Chordata; Aves; Anseriformes; Anatidae
Source: RefSeq, a predicted model, not a curated record
CAAGACUUCCCAAAUGCUGUAACAACAAGAAACAUGAUUCUAAAGAAGCCAUUUGGCACCGUGACUGAGACAUUGACAGGUCACUGAAGAGUAUCCUUCAUUUUUUUUUGUUUGUUUUUAGUGCUACCAGGUAACUGCUCAUUGGGAAUCUUAAGUCUAAAACUUGAAGUGUAUAUCUAGCAACAUACAGAGAUCACUGUUAUGUCUAGAAUUCAUUGAUUUCAGAGCCUGUGUCAAUUUGGGAAGCAAAGUUAUCUGGGAUACAUUGUUCUACUGUUAAAAUACAAUGCAUUGAGAUAAUCUCUUACGCAGCUAGUAACAUAUAUUUACAUGUCACAGUCUAAUUGUGCUUGCAAACAUCUAAGAAUUACUUUAAAACACACCAAUGAUUUUGUAGGUUUUUAAUGUUUGCCACCUUCUUUCCUUCUUUCUGAUACAUGUCACAGCAUGAUUCUUAUGAAUUAGUGUGUCCACUGGUAAUAUGUAGUAACAUGCCAUUCAGAACAGAAAAAGAAGUUUCAUCUUGGUAAAACUCCAUAUUUCAUUUGUUUGGCUUAGUGAACCUUUAGCUAUGUAUUCAUGAGACUGUGCCUAUGGAUGAAUGUGGAGGUGGAAUUACCAACAAAUCCAGUGCAACAUAUUAAACAUGAUCUGUAAAAGAUUUUUGUUUGUUUUUUUGGUUGUUUUUUUUUUUUUUGUUUUUUCUGUGAAAGGAAUUAGAACUAAAACAGAAAAGACUGUAACUGUAACAAAAAAUGGCACCAAGUAAAUUAAUUGUAAUGAAACUGACCGUAGCAAUGGAGAAGAAAGGUAAAAAUUUUGGUAUUUAGAACUUCAAGGUCAUUGUAUUUUGGUUGCUUUCAGAUUUUACAGCACGGAGAAUGAAAUGAUUAUUCCAAAACUGAAUAUACAUUAGUUAAUUGUAUAUGAUUUUUCCAUUAAGGCUGCAAUUCUGAUUUAGAAUUUCCCUUUUUAAAAUAAUUUUUCUAUUAAUUUCCUGCCCAAGACUGUCAUGCAAAUAGUUUACAUUGAACAAUAAGAAUUGAUUUUCAUUCUUUCUUGCUCUGUAUUCAUUUGAAUGGCAAAAAUCAUAACCAAAGUAAAACAACAGUGCAGAUGUAAUACAUUCUUAUGUCACAAAUCAUAAAAAGUAUAAAAUAAGGCAACAAUUUGUUUUUGACAUGCCUAAAUUACUCAUAAGAGUCACUACUUUUUUUUUUCCUGUCAAAAUCUUGUUUGAAUCUCACAGUGGUUUAAAAGUAGUUCAUGUGCAAAACCAUUAUAGCAGGCAUUCAAAAUGCUAUCUAAUUAUUCCAUUCAGAGAAAUUUUAAAGCUACAAAUUUUAGGAUUUCAAAGAUGCAACAUGUCCUGGUCUGGCUGCAGGGUAUUUGUAAGUACAUUGAAAAUUCUGAAGAGUACUAAUUUUACAAGUCAAAGUUUUCUGAUACAAAAAUGUUGCAGGAUACUUGGAGUAAAAUCCUGUUAAAUAUAUACAGCUUAACACACAGAGGUGCAACAGCUGUAGGAACUAUUUUGCUCUGUGCUGAUUAGAAAUAGGAAAUUUCUCAAACCACUAUUGUAGCUUGAGUUAAGGUACUACAGAAUACAUGUAUAUUUAAAACAAUUUUCAUUAAAAUAUUUAUAUUCUUCACCUCAACCUACAAAAAGCAUCUAUUAAACUUAUCUGGAACUAGCUCAUUGGAGUUAUGCAGUUAAUUCAUAUUGCUCAUUUUUACAUGUUUUAAACCCUAGCUGCAUGCCUCACCUAAUUAUUACAGCACUGCAAUGGAAUUUACAUUAGGAAAUGUUCCCUGAGGGGUGUCCUUGUAGAAGAAAAAAAUGUAAUUGCAAUACUAUCUGGCAAAACUCUGUGAGCUUAUCAGAGAUGAGAGUUAAGCCAAUAGCAGUGAAGAUGAUUUCUCUACUACUUAAUGCAAGAUGAGUUAAAGAGAUGUGUUGUUGUGAUGCUGGAUUAACUGACCCAGCCAAACAAACAAACAAACAGACAAAAAAGAAACAAUAGAUGUGAGUACAUCCCAUCCUGACAUGCUAAGAACAAUAGCAGAAAUCCUGCAGGGCCCUGGGAACUCCUGCAUAUCCCAGCUGGAUCCUGCUGCUGUGAACACACCUGCACACCACAGUACGUUUACUUUUUACUGUAUGUGUACCUAAGUCAAAAAAGAGUCCGCAUUUCCAAUACUUUGUCAUGAGUCAAGCAGUAGUCCAAGCUGCCAGCUGCAGCUAGUACCAGGCAUGGUCCCUAACCUCUCCAAACAGCAUCAGCCAGCGUGGAAAGAGGAAGGCUCUUAUUAGGCUUCUGCUACUGUCAAAAUGGAGAAGAUAGAGUAAAACGUGUAUGCAUUGUUCAAUAAAAGAACCUAGUUGCUUCUCAUACAGUCUGAUAUUUUCUCAUUUACUGACAUGGAAAACUCUGACUGCUAGAGCUAUUAUAAUUUAUUUUUCUUUUAUUUAUUUAAGUGUUGUAGAGCAAGAUGUUACCUAGCUUUUACUUCCUCCUUAAAUGAUCCUCCAUUUUUACUGUGCAAGUAGGGCUUCUUUUGCUGGCCACUUUUGUUCAACAGAUGAUUCUCAUGAAAACUGGAUUGCUUCAUGUGUACUGUACAUAAAAAUAAUCAUCAACGUGCCUUUUCUUAAUGUGUAUAUUAGUUUCCUAACAGUUAAUGUUGUUGCAGAUUAUUUAACAUGUAAUAGAUAACAUUUGAUGUUAAAGUUUUCUGAGUUCUUCAGCUUGUCAUCAACCUGAAAAUGGCAAAUUUUCUUCCAGGUUGAAAAUAUUUCCUUAAUUUGUUGCAUAAAUCCAGUGCAAUGCAAUAUUAACAAACUAACACACCUAAGAGAAAAUAAUAAAUAAUUAAGUGCUGUUAUAUCAGCUCUUCAGACAGGAAAAAAUUAAGAUAAUAUUUAAAGUCCAGUAUUUAAAGUGCUAGCGGUUCUAGCUGUAACAUGUGAAGGAAACAGGGUUCCGCACCAUCAACCAACUAUGAGAUUGCUGCAGCAGUAUUAAAAGAAAAAAGAAAAAAAAAUAAAGAAGAAAAAAAAAAAGAAAAUGCUAUCAGAUUUAACUGAGAUAUGAAAUAGGCUGUGAUAGUUAAUGUCAGAAAACACUAUCAGUAAUCCAAUGGUGGAGAACAUUUACUAAAAUAAGUAGAAGAUGAGAAGGGGCUAUGUGACCAGAGAGAGUAGUCUUAAUUCUGGAAUUGCUUGUUACUUUUCACACAGAAUCUCACACUGUGAUUCUGCCCUUAUGGACUAUGUGCUUGCAUGUAUAUUGCCGAUAAUGGCCUUGUAUUAAAGAUGUGCGAUCAUCAGAAACAGAAGAAAGGAGAAGAUGAGACAUUACCAAAUCUUUGGAAGUUUUCCCUGUAGUCUGGAAGCCAAAGCUAUGCGUUUUCUGGUUUAUCAGUCAUGAAGAAGUUGCAAUGAGAAUUCAGUUUAUCCCAGUGCUGAAAAGCCUACCUUCAGCCACUGGAUAUGUGAGGUUAGCAUCUGUGAAGAGAUCCCAAUUUCCACAAGCAUGUUUUUUUUGUUUUUUUUUGUUUACACUAUAAAUAGCCAUCUUCUCUCCCCCUAUUUCCCAGUCUUAAAGAUGAGUCAAAGAAGGGUCAGUUCAUACAGUUCUGUUAAUCUACUGAAAGAACAAAAAGAAACUAUGAAGAAAUUUAAACUUUUUAUUCACACUUUUAUUUGCAAUAUAAAGUUCUUGCUGUAAUAAGAAAUUAAAUAUUAUGGUGCUACUUUGUAAUUCAAAGUAGUCAGAUAAGUUAUUGUAAGGAAUGUUCCAGCAAUUCGUGUCAGUAGAGGUAAAACUUGAGUUUCUGAUAUCUGGGGAUAAGAGAACAAAGGGGUUUCAGAAUAACUGCUAACUAUUGUGGCUAUUACAUGGGACGCUAUGCAAGUCUCUCAUAUCUGGCCAAGAGAUUAAGGAGAAAGGAGAAGCAGAAGGACGACUAAAAGACAAAUCUUGCAUGGGACACUGCACAAGUCUCUGAUAUCCGGCCAAGAUGGACAAAGGAGAAGGACAAGGACAAAACCUGGGAAGAAGACUACAAGCCUUCAGCACAAGAGACCCCCAGAGGGACCACCUGAGACUGAUACGCAUGCGCCAGUGGGAGGGUUCGGAUUCUGGGAACUAAUUAUAAUAACCCUGCCUUUUCUAGAAGUAGCAAUGAAUAUGUAUUAGCCUAGGAGCAUAAAAACCAGCUGCCUGAUGUAACGUGUGUCUGUUGGAGGAGCCCAGACUCCCCGUGCACCCAGUGCUGUUUACUUGCCUUCUAUUAACCCCAUAAAUAAAUCUUAUAAAGCUGAA